Molecule: ribosomal RNA, 169 nt
Filed under: uncultured Mortierella
Lineage: Eukaryota; Fungi; Mortierellomycota; Mortierellomycetes; Mortierellales; Mortierellaceae
Description: partial large subunit ribosomal RNA
Rfam family: Eukaryotic large subunit ribosomal RNA
Source: RNAcentral
AUAUCAAUAAGCGGAGGAAAAGAAACUAACAAGGAUCCCCUUAGUAACGGCGAGUGAAGCGGGGUGAGCUCAAAUUUAAAAUCUGGCUGGUUUACUAGCCCGAGUUGUAGUUUACAGAAGCGUUUUCGAUGGCAGCCUGGGUAUAAAUCUCUUGGAAUAGGUAGUCAUA